GUCUAAGUACAAUCCUUGAUACAAGAGAAACUGCAGAUGGCUCAUUAGAUCAGUUAUGGUUUAUUUGGAGAAAGCCUCAUACCAUGGAUAACUGUGGUAAUUCUAGAGCUAAUACAUGCAACUAAGCGCCGACCCUUCGGGGGAAGCGUGCCUUUAUUAGGAACAAGGCCAGCUCGGUCCUCUCGGGGGCCGGUCUCCGCUGGUGAACUCUAGAUAACAAAGCCGAUCGCACGGUCUCGCACCGGCGACGCUCCCUUCAAAAGUCUGCUCUAUCAACUUUCGAUGGUACGUUAUGCGCUUAUCAUGGUCGUGACGGGUAACGGAGAAUCAGGGUUCGAUUCCGGAGAGGGAGCCUGAGAAACGGCUACCACAUCCAAGGAAGGCAGCAGGCACGCAAAUUACCCACUCCUGACACGGGGAGGUAGUGACAAAAAAUAACGAUACAGGCCUCUUCGGAGGCCCUGUGAUCGGAAUGAGUACACUUUAAAUCCUUUAACGAGGAUCUACUGGAGGGCAAGUCUGGUGCCAGCAGCCGCGGUAAUUCCAGCUCCAGCAGCGUAUAUUAAAUUUGCUGCAGUUAAAAAGCUCGUAGUCGGAUUUCUGGCCGGGGCGGGCGGUCCGCCGCGAGGCGAGCACUGCCCGUUCCCCUGCUCCUCGUCAGAANGGGAGUCGUGGGAGAUUUUUCCCGGCCAGUGAUUCGGUUGGUCGUGCGGUGCUCUUGACUGAGUGCCGUGCGAAACUGGAACGUUUACUUUGAGAAAAUUAGAGUGUUCAAAGCAGGCCAAGUGCCCGAACAGCUCAGCAUGGAAUAGUGGAAAAAGGACCUCGGUUCUAUUUCGUUGGUCUUUAGAUCUGAGGUAAUGAUCAAGAGGGACUGCCGGGGGCAUUCGUAUUGCGGCGUGAGAGGUGAAAUUCUUGGAUCGUCGCAAGACGCCCGACAGCGAAAGCAUUUGCCAAGAAUGUCUUCAUUGAUCAAGAACGAAAGUCGGAGGAUCGAAGGCGAUCAGAUACCGCCCUAGUUCCGACCAUAAACGAUACCGACUCGUAAUUCGCCGGCGUUMCUCCCAUGACGCGGCGGGCAACUCUCCGGAAAACCAAAGUCUUUGGGUUCCGGGGGAAGUAUGGUUGCAAAGCUGAAACUUAAAGGAAUUGACGGAAGGGCACCACCAGGAGUGGAGCCUGCGGCUUAAUUUGACUCAACACGGGGAAACCUACCCGGCCCGGACACAGUAAGGAUUGACAGAUUGAGAGCUCUUUCUUGAUUUUGUGGAUGGUGGUGCAUGGCCGUUCUUAGUUGGUGGAGUGAUUUGUCUGGUUAAUUCCGAUAACGAACGAGACUCUGGCUUGCUAAAUAGUCUGGCCACCCGUCGCGGUGAGCCGAGAACUUCUUAGAGGGACAAAUGGCUUUCAGCCAUACGAGAUGGAGCAAUAACAGGUCUGUGAUGCCCUUAGAUGUCCGGGGCCGCACGCGCGCUACACUGGCGCACUCAGCGGGUUCAAUUGCCCUCGGCCGACAGGUCUGGGUAAUCCGUUGAGACUUCUCCGUGCUGGGGACAGGGACUUGUAAUUGUGUCCCUUGAACGAGGAAUUCCAAGUAAACGCGAGUCAUCAACUCGCAUUGAUUACGUCCCUGCCCUUUGUACACACCGCCCGUCGCUACUACCGAUCGAAUGGCUUAGUGAGGCCAUCGGAUCGUCCGUCUGGCAACCCCGGCUUCGGUCGGCAAUCCUUGAUACAAGAGAAACUGCAGAUGGCUCAUUAGAUCAGUUAUGGUUUAUUUGGAGAAAGCCUCAUACCAUGGAUAACUGUGGUAAUUCUAGAGCUAAUACAUGCAACUAAGCGCCGACCCUUCGGGGGAAGCGUGCCUUUAUUAGGAACAAGGCCAGCUCGGUCCUCUCGGGGGCCGGUCUCCGCUGGUGAACUCUAGAUAACAAAGCCGAUCGCACGGUCUCGCACCGGCGACGCUCCCUUCAAAAGUCUGCUCUAUCAACUUUCGAUGGUACGUUAUGCGCUUAUCAUGGUCGUGACGGGUAACGGAGAAUCAGGGUUCGAUUCCGGAGAGGGAGCCUGAGAAACGGCUACCACAUCCAAGGAAGGCAGCAGGCACGCAAAUUACCCACUCCUGACACGGGGAGGUAGUGACAAAAAAUAACGAUACAGGCCUCUUCGGAGGCCCUGUGAUCGGAAUGAGUACACUUUAAAUCCUUUAACGAGGAUCUACUGGAGGGCAAGUCUGGUGCCAGCAGCCGCGGUAAUUCCAGCUCCAGCAGCGUAUAUUAAAUUUGCUGCAGUUAAAAAGCUCGUAGUCGGAUUUCUGGCCGGGGCGGGCGGUCCGCCGCGAGGCGAGCACUGCCCGUUCCCCUGCUCCUCGUCAGAAUGGGAGUCGUGGGAGAUUUUUCCCGGCCAGUGAUUCGGUUGGUCGUGCGGUGCUCUUGACUGAGUGCCGUGCGAGACUGGAACGUUUACUUUGAGAAAAUUAGAGUGUUCAAGCAGUCAGAGUCCCCUGGAUCCGUCGAGGGAUCAGGAGACUGUCCAGCCAGUGAUCGAUCGUCGUGCCGUGUUCUGACUGACUGCCGUGCAGACUGACGUUACUUUGAGAUAGUUAGAGUGAUCAAGCAGCUAAGUGCUCGACAGCUCAGCAUGAUAGUCGAAAGGAACUCGAUCUAUUCGUGUCUGAGAUCUGAGGUAAUGAUCAAGAGGGACUGCCGGGGGCAUUCGUAUGCGGCGUGAGAGGUGAAUCUUGGAUCGUCGCAAGACGCCCGACAGCGAAAGCAUUGCCAAGAAUGUCUUCAUUGAUCAAGAACGAAAGUCGGAGGAUCGAAGGCGAUCAGAUACCGCCCUAGUUCCGACCAUAAACGAUACCGACUCGUAAUUCGCCGGCGUUCCUCCCAUGACGCGGCGGGCAACUCUCCGGAAAACCAAAGUCUUUGGGUUCCGGGGGAAGUAUGGUUGCAAAGCUGAAACUUAAAGGAAUUGACGGAAGGGCACCACCAGGAGUGGAGCCUGCGGCUUAAUUUGACUCAACACGGGGAAACCUACCCGGCCCGGACACAGUAAGGAUUGACAGAUUGAGAGCUCUUUCUUGAUUUUGUGGAUGGUGGUGCAUGGCCGUUCUUAGUUGGUGGAGUGAUUUGUCUGGUUAAUUCCGAUAACGAACGAGACUCUGGCUUGCUAAAUAGUCUGGCCACCCGUCGCGGUGAGCCGAGAACUUCUUAGAGGGACAAAUGGCUUUCAGCCAUACGAGAUGGAGCAAUAACAGGUCUGUGAUGCCCUUAGAUGUCCGGGGCCGCACGCGCGCUACACUGGCGCACUCAGCGGGUUCAAUUGCCCUCGGCCGACAGGUCUGGGUAAUCCGUUGAGACUUCUCCGUGCUGGGGACAGGGACUUGUAAUUGUGUCCCUUGAACGAGGAAUUCCAAGUAAACGCGAGUCAUCAACUCGCAUUGAUUACGUCCCUGCCCUUUGUACACACCGCCCGUCGCUACUACCGAUCGAAUGGCUUAGUGAGGCCAUCGGAUCGUCCGUCUGGCAACCCCGGCUUCGGUCGGCGUCAGGCGACAGAACUCACGACGUGAGUUUCCUAAUAACCUUAUU
This 3593-nucleotide ribosomal RNA is filed under the name Oneirophanta cf. mutabilis GBC-2022. RNAcentral describes it as "SSU rRNA". Lineage: Eukaryota; Metazoa; Echinodermata; Holothuroidea; Elasipodida; Deimatidae. The record is from RNAcentral.